CCUACGGGAGGCAGCAGUGGGGAAUAUUGCACAAUGGGCGCAAGCCUGAUGCAGCCAUGCCGCGUGUGUGAAGAAGGCCUUCGGGUUGUAAAGCACUUUCAGCGGGGAGGAAGGCGUUAAGGUUAAUAACCUUGUCGAUUGACGUUACCCGCAGAAGAAGCACCGGCUAACUCCGUGCCAGCAGCCGCGGUAAUACGGAGGGUGCAAGCGUUAAUCGGAAUUACUGGGCGUAAAGCGCACGCAGGCGGUCUGUCAAGUCGGAUGUGAAAUCCCCGGGCUCAAUCUGGGAACUGCAUUCGAAACUGGCAGGCUAGAGUCUUGUAGAGGGGGGUAGAAUUCCAGGUGUAGCGGUGAAAUGCGUAGAGAUCUGGAGGAAUACCGGUGGCGAAGGCGGCCCCCUGGACAAAGACUGACGCUCAGGUGCGAAAGCGUGGGGAGCAAACAGGAUUAGAUACCCCAGUAGUC
RNAcentral lists this ribosomal RNA (465 nucleotides) under uncultured Klebsiella sp. Its description in RNAcentral is "bacterial SSU rRNA". It matches the Rfam family "Bacterial small subunit ribosomal RNA", at positions 338 to 795 of the family's 1533-position model. Lineage: Bacteria; Pseudomonadati; Pseudomonadota; Gammaproteobacteria; Enterobacterales; Enterobacteriaceae. The record is from RNAcentral.